AACUAACAGCGAGGGAAAUAGAACCCCCGUGGAACACUCGGAGAAUCCUUUCUGCAAGCAAGAUGAAAAUAUAAAGGUAUUUCAGACAUUACGGACUGGGGUGAACAAAGAGGGAAUAUUGGAAUUUACUGUUCAGAGAGGGGAACUUGUUUACAUUGCAACGAAAGAGAUCAUGUUAAACUCAAACAGCCUUCAAAUAAGGCGUGAAGACCAAGCCCAAGCCCACUAUCGAGGAGUAGCUGUAUAUCCAUUCCUACACUGCAUAAAGGAAAUAGAAUCUUUGGACGCUGGUUUAUAUUACUGGACCACCACCGAAAGCUGGCCAAAGAGAAAUGUAUUUUUGUUGAGGG
Long non-coding RNA from Saccostrea echinata, 350 nucleotides. RefSeq lists it as uncharacterized. The transcript is spliced from 3 exons. NCBI's taxonomy places the organism in Eukaryota, Metazoa, Mollusca, Bivalvia, Ostreida, Ostreidae. The record is from RefSeq and is a predicted model, not a curated record.